CCUUUCCCUCCUCUCCAUCUCCCAUUGCAUUGUGUCUGACUGAUUUUCAGAGCACCUUCGCUGUUUCCCCCUUCUCUUUCCCUUUCUGUAAAAUAUCUAGACAGGAAGGAGGUGGCUGCAGAGGCUGAACAAACAAUCUCAUAUUCUGCCUGCAAUGUCAUCGUUUCUUUCCCCCAUUUUAGGGGGCUGAAGUUGCCCAGGAAGGGGAUGCAGAGGAGCUGGAAAGGAAGGGGGGAGCUCUCCAGUGGCAGCUGCGGUCAGGGGCAGGGACUGCCGCCAGAUGUGCCUGCCUCUCUGGACUUUGAUGCGAAAGGGGCAGCAGGAGGAAAUAUUGGGAGACAAAAGCCCCGGUUUAAAUGAUCAUUUUCUUUAUUUAACAUGGCAGCAGACACUCUGCGUAAGAUCAUCAUGCCGAACAUAAACUGGACUUUCCCACUUGCCUGGCAGGAGUGAGACAGAUCACUGUGUGCUAAAUGAGCAUCUGAGGAAGAUUAUCCCUGAGCUAACUGCUGCUGCCAAUCCUCCUCUUUUUGCCAAGGAAGACUGGCCCUGAGCUAACAUCCGUGCCCAUCUUACUCUACUUUCUAUGUGGGAUGCCUACCACAGCAUGGCUUGCCAAGUGGUGCCAUGUCUGCACCCCAGAUCUGAACUGGUGAACCCUGGGCCACUGAAGCGGAACAUGCACACUUGACCGCUGCGUCACCGGGCCUGCCCCAAGAAUCUUUUGUUAUUGUCACUCAUAUCGUAUGAAAAAUGUCCUUGGCCUCUGCACCCCUGUGGAAUCCAGUUCAUCUCCAAUCCGUCAGAAAGCAUCAGAGGUGGUUUUGAUUCCUUAUGUCCUGAGCCUGUGCACAAAAUGUGUGAGUACACUGAGAUAAUGAGGUCAAUUUUACUGCUGUCAAGGGUCUUCUAAAAUUAUUUUAUAGUGGUUGUUGUAUUGGAAUGAACUCACCCUGUAGUUUCAGGCAGAGGAGGGAA
This 978-nucleotide long non-coding RNA is filed under the name Equus caballus (horse). RNAcentral's name for it is "lncRNA (ENSECAG00000042135.2)". The record is from RNAcentral. Lineage: Eukaryota; Metazoa; Chordata; Mammalia; Perissodactyla; Equidae.